RNAcentral lists this ribosomal RNA (255 nucleotides) under uncultured bacterium. RNAcentral's name for it is "partial 16S ribosomal RNA". It matches the Rfam family "Bacterial small subunit ribosomal RNA", at positions 524 to 777 of the family's 1533-position model. The record is from RNAcentral.
UACGUAGGGGGCAAGCGUUGUCCGGAAUCAUUGGGCGUAAAGCGCGUGUAGGCGGCCUUGUAAGUCCGUUCUGAAAGCCCGGGGCUCAACCCCGGGAGGCGGAUGGAUACUGCAAGGCUCGAGUACGGAAGAGGCGAGUGGAAUUCCUGGUGUAGCGGUGAAAUGCGCAGAUAUCGGGAAGAACACCCGUGGCGAAGGCGGCUCUCUGGGACGGUACUGACGCUGAGACGCGGAAAGCGUGGGGAGCGAACAGGA